This 2335-nucleotide ribosomal RNA is filed under the name Triticum aestivum (bread wheat). Its description in RNAcentral is "partial small subunit ribosomal RNA". The record is from RNAcentral. Lineage: Eukaryota; Viridiplantae; Streptophyta; Magnoliopsida; Poales; Poaceae.
CGGUUUCGGUUUCAUGAUCUUUUGCUAUACAUGUCCCACAAACAUAACUGAGUACCUGGCCCCUUCAAGAACGAGUCCGUUCGUGUCGAAUCCGAUGACUAAAAGGAGAAGAAGAUUACAGAAACAUUAGUGUUAUGGUCCGAAUGGAUGUAGGUGGAGACGUCGCGUCGUCCUCUUUCUACUCACAUAAAGAGCAGCGUCGGGACCACCGGACGGAACAGUCGGUACCUCGGCCGCGCCGGUACCGAAGCCGUCGAACCCUCCUGGUUCUAAAGAAGUCUUUGACAGGCGGCAGAGCCACGUCGUCUCUACCUGGAGUCUAGGCCAAGGGCGAGGUCGAGGAACUAAGGUCGUUGUGUAGUAGUAGUAGUAGUAGUAGGAGUGGGACGCCGCGCUGCUGUACGCACUUUGAUCGUACGAGUCCGGUUCUGUGGUAGUACGAAGUGGGUGAAGAACCGGGUACGGCACAGUGGCGGUAUUUAAUGUGGCCACGGAGGGAGUCGUAGUGGGGCGAACGGAGGCGUACGUGCUACUAAGUCUUCGAGCAGAGCUGUUCAAGUGGUGGCCGACUGCGGCCGAUGGCGACGCGCGGUGUGAUGCGGCCUCGACCUUACGAACAUCCGACGAGUUCCCUCAAGUGCGGUUCGCCCUAGUGAGUCAUAGGACAGAUACUACUGUCUCCACGAAAGACACGAAGACGGAGCCGGCGGCGACGGUAGCGACCGGGUUAGAGGACGGAACUGUUGCGUUGAGUGAAGAGCAUAAACCACCGUUGACUACGAAAGUACAUACUAGAAGGUAACCUGACGUUCCAGUAGAGUCUACGGUUGUAGGGUUAUAAACCGUAUCCUAUAAUGCCGAGUCGUAGGUUCGUACCAGACCUUCUUCUUGGGAGGCAAUAAUGCUGUAUCGUCGACUGACCUCACUUGUCCUCGGCAGUAGGCAACGGAUAGUUACGGUUUAUACGCUCAACUUACUCGUUGCGACGCGGAAGUCGAGUGUCUCCUUACUUUGUAAGACGAACAGAGUUGGAGUAUUUCCAAGUACACAGUUUCAGUAACGUCGAUGUAGUAGCCACCGGCGUAAACAACAAGAAGACAACUACCACCGGUGACGAGAAAUAGAAAGUGACUUUUGUUCUAUGUUGCUUCUCUAUGUGAACUUUCAGCUUUACAAAGAGUUCUGUAUACUAUGUAGUUUUGGUUGUUCCAUGUGAAAGAGGCUUUAAUUUUUCUAUUGCUCUGCGAAGUUCCUAUUUAAUCCUGUACCACCUAUACCUUCGCACAUGUUUCCACUCGAUGGUUUACCCCAAGGACAGUGGCAGUUCUACGAACUCUUGAGAUUACCUCUUCCCGUCCUUAAGUAGUUACUUCAACGUUGAUAACCCUCUUAGGUGGUAUGUUUGUAACAGGCUGAGGAACCGAAAACGAGACUUCCCUGUUCUUCCCGAGAAUAAAUACUUAAGUACGGAUUUCUAAGUAACCUCUUUAUAUAUAAGAGUCCAUUAAGAUAAUAAAGAGUUCUUGAGGACCAUGGCCUGUUUUACGAUCUAUAACGAAAUCCGUAACGAUCUCCUUACCUCAUGAAUGUAGUUCCUACGUUGGUUGCGUAUGAGGUGAAGCUGUAGUUCGGAGUGUUAUAGAAUAACCUGAUGUUGAAGUUGGGCUUCUAGAGUCUGAAGCCGGAACGUUUUAACACAUGUUCCCUAGUUUCGUAGUAGUGCAACUGGCGUCGUUCUCCGUGAUACCCCAUGUAGCGUGGUCUCUAAAUGAGAUCCUUGAAACCACCCUAUAGGAUGUUCAGCCUACAAAUGUCAAAGCCGUACAACCACAAUCUUUACCAUUCACCUGCCUCCUUGAGUCUGGGUUCAUGGCUCUCGGUCUUGGUCCUUAUGGAGGGCCUCACCUAGAUGCUCUUUCAUUAGUGACCUCUCCUUGACCACGAAUGAAACCUUCACUGUGGUCUUCCCUUUCUUUUCCGCUCUGUCGACCGUUAGCACCGUGAAACCACAUAAGUCACCUUGGGUUCUUCGGCCGGUAGUUACUGUUUCCACCAUUUAUACAAUUGACCUUCGAAUGUCUUAGACGUCUACGGGGGAUUCGGUAAACAGGGUAGACUUUUAAUGGCGUACGGUAUCUGUUUGUACCUCUAUAUAUAGUGGUAUCAGGUAACCAUGAUGUGCCCUGUAUCAACUAAGUACACACAUAACGAGAAAUGGCAUGGUGCCAAAGAUCGUACAUAUUUUUUUAAUAACCGUUCAGUUGACACACACACACACACACACAAUCGAUCGUAUGGACUACAGGCCUAGAUCAAGUACUCGGUAAUAUAACAU